UGAAUUCUGGGUGGUUCAUCCUCCUCCCUGCCCUUCUAAACAGAGAAUCAGAGAGAAAAUCCCCGACGGACUUCCCCGUCCCUCUUGUGUCGCUCCUGGCACCUAGUAAGGGAACAAGGAUGUACUCGGGAUCCUGUCGCCGAGAGAAAAAGUAAAGGGCACUGUCGCUCGGCACCAGGUUUUCAGGGGUCGUAACUACGAGGCAGAAACCCGAGUCGGGUCCACAGGAAGGGAGGAAGGGACUCGGGUCACUCCGCCGAGGCUUUCCCACGGUCGCUCCACCGUCUCCUUAACACCGGGAAACAGAAACACCCGUGGCGAGGAGCUGUCAGACAAAAGGGCAAGGAAGGAAGCUACAAAUCCUUUUCAAAAGGCAGAGAAAAGAAGUGAACAGCAACAACAAGAAGGAAAAAAAGGAAAAAGGUGCUUCCAGAUAACUGAGAUUUUUUUCUAAGGAGCAUGACACUUUUCACAUUAAACAACGACUAAGGAAAAGGAGAGAGUCUUGGUUACAUGAGAUGAAGAAGUGAGAAACCUACAGUGUGAAUGCUUAGACAACAAAGAAAUCAUUGGAGGAAAUCCAAAGUUUAUUUUUUUUAAUGGAGAUAGAGAAAGGGAGUAAGAAAAUGAAGAAAUAUUAUGAAUUUUUCAGUUAAUUUUACCUGUAAAUAUAUGCAUAUUAAAUAUUAUAUGGUUGCUGUGAUUGCAACAUUAAAAUGUGACCCAAGGAGAAGGUGCCUGCCUUUUUUUACUGUAUGAACUCUGACUGUUUCUUGACUUACAAAUUUUAUAAAGACCCCAAGGAUUAAAUCUUGUGUACUCCUGUGAUCAACUAAACAUGUAAAAGUUUAGACACUAGCCUCCUGGUACAUCUAUAAAGAUUAAUAAGAAAUUUUUCAGAUCAUACAGAAUUGAGAGUUGCUGAGAGAUCCUGCAGAGAGACCUCAACAAAUUAGAGGACUGGGGAAAGAGAAGCUGGAGAAGAGUGCUGGGCAAAGGACCUGGGGGUCUUGGUUGAUACAAAGCUGAACAUGAGCCAGCAGUGUCCUGGCAGCCAGGAGGGCCAUCCCUGUCCUGGGGACAUCAGGGACAGCAUCGCCAGCCAGGCAAGGCAGGGAUUGUCCUGCUCUGCUUUGCACUGGGGCAGCCUCACCUCCAGCGCUGGGGCAGUUUUGGGUGCCACAAUGUAAAAAGGACAUUAAACUAUUGCAGAGUGUCCAAGGAAGAGCAGCAAAGAUGGUGAAGGGCCCUGAGGGGAAGCCGUGUGAGGAGUGACUGAGGUCACUUGGUCUGUUCAGCCUGGAGGAGCCUGAGGCCAACCUCACUGCAGGUACAGCUCCUUGUGAGGGGAAGAGAGGGACAGACACUGAUCUCUGCUCUGUGACAGUGACAGGACCUGAGGGAAUGGCCUGAAGCUGUGCCAGGGCAGGUUUAGGUUGGCUAUCAGGAAAAGUUUUUCACCCAGAGGUGGUUGGGCACUGGAACAGCUCCCCAGGGAAGUGGUCACAGAACCAGCCUGACUGAGCUCAAGGAGGGUUAGGUCAGUGCUCUCAGGCAGGUGCUGUGGUUGUUAUUGCUGUCUUGUGUAGGGCAAAGAGUUGGAUUUGAUGAUCUUUUUGGGUCCCUUCCAACUCAGAAUAUUCAGUGAUUCUGUGAUAUUUUCUUUAUAUCUAGGGAUUUAAAAAAAAAAAAUAUUCCAUUCCUUAGGAUUUUAAGCUGGUUUCUCUCUCUUUGAAAGCAUUUGUAUACUUGUCCUUAUAUAAAACAUUUCUGCAGAGGUGUGGAAUAUUUUAAGACACCUCAGAAAUAUUCUUCCCUGGAUUUGCCAAUAGCAGAAGGAUUCAGCAGAUGGCAGGAUGUGGCCACUUCAAGACAGCCAAGAAUCUGGGCCCCCACCCUCCUUUCUGAGCAUGUGUAACCAAGCUGUCUGUCUGUCAGACAGUGGGAGAGAGACCAGUGUGGGAACUGCAUGUACUAUUGGAAAGCUUUUUAAUGAAUAUCACUGCCACAAUUAAGAAAUUAUCUUUAUGCAUUUAAACAGAGGCCCCACUUAUGUGCUGUAUGAAAUUCUUACUUUGUAUCUCUGGAAAUCAUAGAAUAUUUCUUUGCACUGGCUAGGAACCCACAACUUAGCACAUGCAUUAUGGCAAAUAUGAAAGGAUUCUUUUUUUUAUGAUCCAUUAAGAUUAAGAAGUACACGCACCCAUUGCCAACAAGCACACCAUCUAAUCAAUCUUGCAUUCCAUUAUUCUGUUUCAUACUAUUUUUGAUGGGAAAAUUCCACUGGGUGGGCUGUCAUCUCUUUUAUAAAUAAGGAAUAAAAUAAACAAACAAAUAACCUACUCACAAGCCAGACUGAUUCUAAGGCUCACAAGAUUCUCAUAUAUUAACUGACUGCAUCCCCAAGUAACAUCUAUUUUGCAUUGGAGUUCAAAUGAUUUCAAUGAAAAUAAAUGGCAGUUGUGCACAUUUGGGAAAGUAAGGAUAGACCCUGAAAUACAACACUGUUGCCUGGUUUUGAUGGAUUUGGAAGGCUUGCAACACAGCUUUCUAUCAGGGGAGAAAUCAGUGAUACAGAAUAUCUUAGAGUCAUGUAUUUGUACUGUGCACAAGUCACUGAACAUAGGUGGUCAUAGACUACAUGCAGGCUAAACCUUAUUUAGAAGUCUUAACCCAAAAGCCACUUUCAGGUUCUCAGGAAAUAAUUUUCACCAAGAACUGAAUCUAAUCAGAGAGCAUAAGAUAGGUUGAACUCCCUGGUUGUUUACAAAAGCUCCCUCAUAAACCUGAACACCAAAAACUAACAGUACAACAUUCCUUGAAAGUGCAUGUAUUCCUUGUAGACUAAGAAAAGGAAUGUGUAAGAUUAUAUUUAACAUGACCACCUGGUGACUCUGCUCCUACUAUAACAAAAGAAAGCUAAUAUUUUAAAAGGUGCUUAAGACUCUCUGACUUUAGUGUAAGUAACUUUUAUGUUCCAUAAAGAUUAAACACUGAAGUCCAACUCACAAAUAGGAUCCAAAAGUGGCCCGAAUGUAGCCCCCAGGUGCAGUAUUGUUGACAUGAACACUCUUUGGGUGUGGAAGUAGAGAUCUCGUGCCCAUGUUCAGUCAUCUGCACUGCAGGGAUCUCUCUCUGAGUUUACUGCCAACACUCCCUUUUCCACCUGUGAAGAGAAACAAAUUCUUCUGAGGUGGCAGUCAUCUCAUCCUGAAGUAAAUACCUGAACUAGAUGUGCUAAGACUUCACUAACAAUAAAAAAUCUGGCAAAGUGUACUGGCUGCAUGGUUUUCUACAUUGCUGAGGUCUAUAUUUGGGUGAGAUGAAUCCCACUGUUUGUGUUUGGGCAGCUUCCACAUAGAGAACUAGCCCAGUUUUGACAUUAAUGAGCAGCUUGUCACCUAUGUUGUGCUUGGACUCAAGUGAGCUCUGAAAGAAAGAUGUCUCU
This 3448-nucleotide long non-coding RNA is filed under the name Taeniopygia guttata (zebra finch). Its description in RNAcentral is "lncRNA (ENSTGUG00000021556.1)". The record is from RNAcentral. Lineage: Eukaryota; Metazoa; Chordata; Aves; Passeriformes; Estrildidae.